AAUAGAUAACGCCAUUGACUUUUUCUCACUUGUUUGACCAUUCGUCUUAUUCAAAAAAAAUUACGUAAUUAUAAUUUAUUUUGUUAUGGGUUGUUUUAUCACUUAUAGUACUUUAAUUGUGAUUUAUAUCUUAUACAUUAGCAUAAAAUUUUUGAAUAAGACGAAUGAUCAAACAUGUGAGAAAAAGUCAACGGCGUCAUCUAUU
This 205-nucleotide microRNA precursor is filed under the name Oryza nivara. Its description in RNAcentral is "MIR812 microRNA precursor family". It matches the Rfam family "MIR812 microRNA precursor family". Lineage: Eukaryota; Viridiplantae; Streptophyta; Magnoliopsida; Poales; Poaceae. The record is from Rfam by way of RNAcentral.